UGCUCUCAGAUGAUAGUGCAGCUAUGGUCACUAUUAUUACACGUGACAGGGCCAUAAUCUUUACCAACUAUUAUUUCCCGUUGGCAGGGUCUAAGCCAAGCUACUAUAACCCGCUGGCGAGGGCCGUAUGCCGAGCUACUGUAACCCACUGGCGAGGGCCAUAAUCUUUGCCAACUAUUGUUCCCCAUUGGCAGGGUCUAAACCAAGCUACUAUAACCCGCUGGCGAGGGCCGUAUGCCGAGCUACUGUAACCCGCUGGCGAGGGCCGUAUGCCGAGCUACUGUAACCCGCUGGCGAGGGCCAUAAU
Molecule: long non-coding RNA, 307 nt
Filed under: Phoenix dactylifera (date palm)
Lineage: Eukaryota; Viridiplantae; Streptophyta; Magnoliopsida; Arecales; Arecaceae
Description: long non-coding RNA (PDAC_LNC018901)
Source: RNAcentral